GGGCCAGACUCCUACGGGAGGCAGCAGUGAGGAAUAUUGGUCAAUGGGCGCGAGCCUGAACCAGCCAAGUAGCGUGAAGGAUGACUGCCCUACGGGUUGUAAACUUCUUUUAUAAAGGAAUAAAGUGAGGCACGUGUGCCUUUUUGUAUGUACUUUAUGAAUAAGGAUCGGCUAACUCCGUGCCAGCAGCCGCGGUAAUACGGAGGAUCCGAGCGUUAUCCGGAUUUAUUGGGUUUAAAGGGAGCGUAGAUGGGUUGUUAAGUCAGUUGUGAAAGUUUGCGGCUCAACCGUAAAAUUGCGAUUGAUACUGGCAGCCUUGAGUACAGUUGAGGUAGGCGGAAUUCGUGGUGUAGCGGUGAAAUGCUUAGAUAUAACUUAGAACUCCGAUAGCGAAGGCAGCUUACCAGACUGCGACUGACGCUGAAGCACGAGAGCGUGGGUAGCGAACAGGAUUAGAUACCCCAGUAC
RNAcentral lists this ribosomal RNA (468 nucleotides) under uncultured bacterium. RNAcentral describes it as "partial 16S ribosomal RNA". It matches the Rfam family "Bacterial small subunit ribosomal RNA", at positions 328 to 793 of the family's 1533-position model. The record is from RNAcentral.